This 443-nucleotide ribosomal RNA is filed under the name uncultured bacterium. Its description in RNAcentral is "partial 16S ribosomal RNA". It matches the Rfam family "Bacterial small subunit ribosomal RNA", at positions 338 to 795 of the family's 1533-position model. The record is from RNAcentral.
CCUACGGGGGGCAGCAGUGGGGAAUAUUGGGCAAUGGAGGCAACUCUGACCCAGCAACGCCGCGUGAAUGAUGAAGGUCUUCGGAUUGUAAAGUUCUUUUCGAAGGGAAGAAGAAAGUGACGGUACCUUAGUAAUAAGCCUCGGCUAACUACGUGCCAGCAGCCGCGGUAAUACGUAGGAGGCAAGCGUUAUCCGGAAUGACUGGGCGUAAAGGGUGCGUAGGUGGUUUGACAAGUUAGUAGCGCAACUCCGGGGCUCAACUUCGGAACUACUACUAAAACUGUUGGACUUGAGUGCAGGAGGGGCAAUCGGAAUUCCUAGUGUAGCGGUGGAAUGCGUAGAUAUCACGAAGAACCCCGAUUGCGAAGGCAGCUUACUAAACUGUGACUGACAUUGAUGCUCGAAAGUGUGGGUAUCAAACAGGAUUAGAUACCCCUGUAGUC